RNAcentral lists this ribosomal RNA (443 nucleotides) under uncultured bacterium. Its description in RNAcentral is "partial 16S ribosomal RNA". It matches the Rfam family "Bacterial small subunit ribosomal RNA", at positions 338 to 795 of the family's 1533-position model. The record is from RNAcentral.
CCUACGGGAGGCUGCAGUGGGGAAUAUUGGGCAAUGGAGGAAACUCUGACCCAGCAACGCCGCGUGAAUGAUGAAGGUCUUCGGAUUGUAAAGUUCUUUUCUAAGGGAAGAAGAAAGUGACGGUACCUUAGGAAUAAGCCUCGGCUAACUACGUGCCAGCAGCCGCGGUAAUACGUAGGAGGCAAGCGUUAUCCGGAAUGACUGGGCGUAAAGGGUGCGUAGGUGGUUUGACAAGUUGGUAGCGUAACUCCGAGGCUCAACCUCGGCACUACUACCAAAACUGUCGGACUUGAGUGCAGGAGGGGCAAAUGGAAUUCCUAGUGUAGCGGUGGAAUGCGUAGAUAUUAGGAGGAACACCAGUGGCGAAGGCGAUUUGCUGGACUGUAACUGACACUGAGGCACGAAAGCGUGGGGAGCAAACAGGAUUAGAUACCCGAGUAGUC